GGGACCCGUCUUGAAACACGGACCAAGGAGUCUAGCAUGUGCGCGAGUCAUUGGGACUCUAACGAAACCUAAAGGCGUAAUGAAAGUGAAGGUCCGCCUUGCGCGGACCGAGGGAGGAUGGACGAUCUCUAGGGAUCGUCCCGCACUCCCUGGGCGUCUCGUUCUCAUCGCGAGAAGAGGCGCACCAAGAGCGUACACGCUGGGACCCGAAAGAUGGUGAACUAUGCCUGGUCAGGACGAAGUCAGGGGAAACCCUGAUGGAGGUCCGUAGCGAUUCUGACGUGCAAAUCGAUCGUCGGAACUGGGUAUAGGGGCGAAAGACUAAUCGAACCAUCUAGUAGCUGGUUCCCUCCGAAGUUUCCCUCAGGAUAGCUGGCGCUCGCUUCUCGCGAGUCUCAUUCGGUAAAGCGAAUGAUUAGAGGCAUUGGGGUCGAAACGGCCUCAACCUAUUCUCAAACUUUAAAUGGGUGAGAUCUCCGGCUUGCUUGAACUGUGAAGCCGCGAGAUAUCGGAUCAGAGUGCCAAGUGGGCCACUUUUGGUAAGCAGAACUGGCGCUGUGGGAUGAACCAAACGCCGAGUUAAAGCGCCUAAAUCGACGCUUAUGGGAUACCAUGAAAGGCGUUGGUAACUUAAGACAGCAGGACGGUGGCCAUGGAAGUCGGAAUCCGCUAAGGAGUGUGUAAA
This 685-nucleotide ribosomal RNA is filed under the name Prodoretus truncatus. RNAcentral's name for it is "eukaryotic LSU rRNA". It matches the Rfam family "Eukaryotic large subunit ribosomal RNA", at positions 644 to 1286 of the family's 3401-position model. The record is from RNAcentral. Lineage: Eukaryota; Metazoa; Arthropoda; Insecta; Coleoptera; Scarabaeidae.